RNAcentral lists this ribosomal RNA (492 nucleotides) under uncultured bacterium. Its description in RNAcentral is "partial 16S ribosomal RNA". It matches the Rfam family "Bacterial small subunit ribosomal RNA", at positions 29 to 507 of the family's 1533-position model. The record is from RNAcentral.
AGUGAACGCUGGCGGUAGGCCUAACACAUGCAAGUCGAACGGCAGCACAGUAAGAGCUUGCUCUUACGGGUGGCGAGUGGCGGACGGGUGAGGAAUACAUCGGAAUCUACUUUUUCGUGGGGGAUAACGUAGGGAAACUUACGCUAAUACCGCAUACGACCUACGGGUGAAAGCAGGGGAUCUUCGGACCUUGCGGGAUUGAAUGAGCCGAUGUGGGAUUAGUUAGUUGGCGGGGUAAAGGCCCACCAAGGCGACGAUCCGUAGCUGGUCUGAGAGGAUGAUCAGCCACACGGGAACUGAGACACGGUCCAGACUCCUACGGGAGGCAGCAGUGGGGAAUAUUGGACAAUGGGCGCAAGCCUGAUCCAGCCAUACCGCGUGGGUGAAGAAGGCCUUCGGGUUGUAAAGCCCUUUUGUUGGGAAAGAAAAGCAGCAGGUUAAUACCCCGCUGUUCUGACGGUACCCAAAGAAUAAGCACCGGCUAACUUCGUG